Molecule: ribosomal RNA, 252 nt
Filed under: uncultured bacterium
Lineage: Bacteria
Description: partial 16S ribosomal RNA
Rfam family: Bacterial small subunit ribosomal RNA
Source: RNAcentral
UACAGGGGGUGCAAACGUUGCUCGGAAUUAUUGGGCGUAAAGCGCGCGUAGGCGGCUACUUAAGUCGGAUGUGAAAGCCCUUGGCUCAACUGAGGAAGUGCACCCGAAACUGAGUGGCUUGAGUACCAAGAGGGUCGCGGAAUUCCCGGUGUAGAGGUGAAAUUCGUAGAUAUCGGGAGGAACACCGGUGGCGAAGGCGGCGACCUGGGUGGAUACUGACGCUGAGGCGCGAAAGCGUGGGGAGCAAACAGG